RNAcentral lists this unclassified non-coding RNA (363 nucleotides) under uncultured bacterium. RNAcentral's name for it is "contains 16S-23S intergenic spacer region". The record is from RNAcentral.
UCCCCGUUACCGGGGCAGUCUGAAUAGAAAAAUCCAACUAUUCAUAAGGGUUGCGCUCGUUGAAGGACUUAACCUAACAUCUCACGACACGAGCUGACGACGGCCAUGCAACACCUGUCACUUAGCUCCCUAAGGCACUCACUGCUUUCACAGUAAUUCCAAGGAUGUCAAGCCCUGGUAAGGUUCUUCGCUUACCAUCGAAUUAAAGAACAUGAUCCACCGCUUGUGCGGGUCCCCGUCAAUUCAUUUGAGUUUUAAUCUUGCGACCGUACUCCCCAGGCUGGAUGCUUAACGCGUUAGCUUCGCUACUGAACGGGUCGAUACGUCCAACAGCUAGCAUCCAUCGUUUACGGCGUGGACUAC